AGAGUUUGAUCCUGGCUCAGAACGAACGCUAGCGGCGUGCCUAACACAUGCAAGUCGCACGAGAAAUCCCGGGCAACUGGGAGAGUAAAGUGGCGAACGGGUGAGUAGCACGUGGGUAAUCUACCCUGAAGUUGGGAAUAACACCUCGAAAGGGGUGCUAAUACCCAAUAAAGUCCCCGAGACCCCGGUCUUGGGGAUCAAAGAUGGCUGAGGCUUGCAAGCUAUUGCUUUAGGAUGAGCCCGCGCACCAUUAGCUAGUUGGUGGGGUAAUGGCCCACCAAGGCCGUGAUGGUUAGCUGGUCUGAGAGGAUGGCCAGCCACACUGGAACUGAGAUACGGUCCAGACUCCUACGGGAGGCAGCAGUGAGGAAUCUUGCGCAAUGGGGGCAACCCUGACGCAGCAACGCCGCGUGAGUGAUGAAGGCCUUCGGGUCGUAAAGCUCUGUCAGAUGGGAAGAAAGUUCCGGGCGUGAACAAUUCCCGGGAUUGACGGUACCGUCAAAGGAAGCACCGGCUAACUCCGUGCCAGCAGCCGCGGUAAUACGGAGGGUGCAAGCGUUGUUCGGAAUUAUUGGGCGUAAAGAGCGUGUAGGCGGUCGGGUAAGUCAGAUGUGAAAUCCCUUGGCUUAACCAAGGAAGUGCAUUUGAAACUGCCCGGCUUUGAGUACGGGAGGGGGAAGUGGAAUUCCCGGUGUAGAGGUGAAAUUCGUAGAUAUCGGGAGGAACACCGGUGGCGAAGGCGGCUUCCUGGACCGAUACUGACGCUGAGACGCGAAAGCGUGGGGAGCAAACAGGAUUAG
This 800-nucleotide ribosomal RNA is filed under the name uncultured bacterium. RNAcentral's name for it is "bacterial SSU rRNA". It matches the Rfam family "Bacterial small subunit ribosomal RNA", at positions 8 to 781 of the family's 1533-position model. The record is from RNAcentral.